RNAcentral lists this non-coding RNA (180 nucleotides) under unclassified sequences. RNAcentral describes it as "Fusobacteriales-1 RNA". The stretch from base 36 to 152 matches the Rfam family "Fusobacteriales-1 RNA". The record is from RNAcentral.
UAAUAUGACUAAGAAAUCAAAAAGAUUUCUGUGACAAACACGCUUCACAAUGUGCGACAAAGAAACAUUGUUUAUGCAAAGGCACUUCGCAAUGUGUGCUCAAACAUUGCUUAUUCAAACACGCUUCACAAUGUGCGACAAAGAAACAUUGUUAUAAGAGCUAAUGUUUUACAUUGGCUC